CUGCUUUCUGUAAGUACUUCUGUAUGCAAGGGAGCACACAACAGGUUAGGAAUAAGAAGAUGAUAAUCAUUAUAAGAACAGCCGUUCCUACCUGGAAUCGGGUCCUUUGCCAACCAUUCAUCCACCCAAACCAUCUGUCCCAAGUGUCAGUGGCUCCUGAGUUCUUCUUUAGUUCAUCAGAAAGGCUAUCUAGCUUCUCUAUGGCCAUAGUUACCUUAACA
Pelobates cultripes (western spadefoot toad) is the source of this 221-nucleotide non-coding RNA. NCBI's taxonomy places the organism in Eukaryota, Metazoa, Chordata, Amphibia, Anura, Pelobatidae. The record is from the annotation of a GenBank genome assembly.